GAGCACAUCACAGUUCAACACCGUUUCCUGUACGAUCACUGAAGUUAAGCAACGUUGAGCCUGAUCGGUACCUAGAUGGGUGAACGCUUGGAAACACCGGGUGGUGUAA
Non-coding RNA from Acanthosepion pharaonis, 109 nucleotides. NCBI's taxonomy places the organism in Eukaryota, Metazoa, Mollusca, Cephalopoda, Sepiida, Sepiidae. The record is from the annotation of a GenBank genome assembly.